AGCAGCCGCGGUAAUUCCAGCUCCAAUAGCGUAUAUUAAAGUUGUUGCAGUUAAAAAGCUCGUAGUUGAAUUUCGGGAUUAAUAUGUUGGUCGUGCCUUGGUACGUACUGGCAUUAUUGAUUCCUACCUUCUGAAGAACCUCGAUGUCAUUAAUUUGGUGUCUUGGGGAAUCAGGACCGUUACUUUGAAAAAAUUAGAGUGUUUAAAGCAGGCUCGCGCUUGAAUACAUUAGCAUGGAAUAAUGAAAUAGGACGUUUGAUUCUAUUUUGUUGGUUUCUAGGAUCGACGUAAUGAUUAAUAGGGAUAGUUGGGGGCAUUAGUAUUCAAUUGUCAGAGGUGAAAUUCUUGGAUUUAUUGAAGACUGACUACUGCGAAAGCAUUUGCCAAGGAUGUUUUCAUUAAUCAAGAACGAAAGUUAGGGGAUCGAAGACGAUCAGAUACCGUCGUAGUCUUAACCAUAAACUAUGCCGACUAGGGAUCGGAUGAUGUUAAUUUUUAAUGUACUCAUUCGGCGCCUUAC
Molecule: unclassified non-coding RNA, 520 nt
Filed under: uncultured Glomus
Lineage: Eukaryota; Fungi; Glomeromycota; Glomeromycetes; Glomerales; Glomeraceae
Description: SSU rRNA
Rfam family: Eukaryotic small subunit ribosomal RNA
Source: RNAcentral